Unclassified non-coding RNA from Pongo abelii (Sumatran orangutan), 142 nucleotides. It matches the Rfam family "Metazoan signal recognition particle RNA". From Rfam's summary of the family: The signal recognition particle (SRP) is a universally conserved ribonucleoprotein. It is involved in the co-translational targeting of proteins to membranes. NCBI's taxonomy places the organism in Eukaryota, Metazoa, Chordata, Mammalia, Primates, Hominidae. The record is from Ensembl.
GCUGGGUACGGUGGUGCGUGCCUGUAGUCCCAGCUACUUGGAAGGCUGAGGCAGGAGGAUCGCUUGAGCCCAGGAGUUCAGGGCUGCAAACUAUGAUUGUGCCACUGCACAGCCUAGGCAACAGAGCAGGAUCCUGUCUCUA